CUGGUUGAUCCUGCCAGUAGUCAUAUGCUUGUCUCAAAGAUUAAGCCAUGCAUGUCUAAGUGCAAGCCGUCCUGUACGGUGAAACCGCGAAAGGCUCAUUAAAUCAGUUAUGGUUCCUUAGAUCGUACCCACGUUACAUGGAUAACUGUGGUAAUUCUAGAGCUAAUACAUGCCCACAGAGCUCCGACCAGCGUCGCAGUCCGGCGCGCGGUUCGUCCGCGGCAGUCGCCUGCACGUUCGGAAGGAGCGCUCUUAUUAGAUCAAAACCG
Molecule: ribosomal RNA, 269 nt
Filed under: Cryptes baccatus
Lineage: Eukaryota; Metazoa; Arthropoda; Insecta; Hemiptera; Coccidae
Description: partial small subunit ribosomal RNA
Rfam family: Eukaryotic small subunit ribosomal RNA
Source: RNAcentral